Molecule: ribosomal RNA, 419 nt
Filed under: uncultured prokaryote
Description: bacterial SSU rRNA
Rfam family: Bacterial small subunit ribosomal RNA
Source: RNAcentral
CCUACGGGUGGCUGUAGUAGGGAAUAUUAGUAAUGGGCGCAAGCCUGAACUAGCAACACCGCGUGUGCGAAGAAGGCCUUCGGGUUGUAAAGCACUUUUUGAGAGGAUGAGGAAGGACGGUACUCUCAGAAUAAGUCUCGGCUAACUACGUGCCAGCAGCCGCGGUAACACGUAGGAGGAAAACGUUAUCCGGAUUUACUGGGCGUAAAGCGCGUGUAGGUGGUUUGGUAAGUAGAGCGUGAAAGCUCCUGGCUCAACUGGGAGAGGUCGUUCUAAACUGCCGGACUAGAGGGUGGUAGAGGGAGGUGGAAAUCCGGGUGUAGCGGUGGAAUGCGCAGAUAUCCGGAGGAACACCAGUGGCGAAGGCGGCCUCCUGGACCACUCCUGACACUCAGACGCGAAAGCUAGGGUAGCAAACG